AUUGAACGCUGGCGGCAUGCUUUACACAUGCAAGUCGAACGGCAGCGCGGGCUUCGGCCUGGCGGCGAGUGGCGAACGGGUGAGUAAUGCAUCGGAACGUGCCCAGUAGUGGGGGAUAGCCCGGCGAAAGCCGGAUUAAUACCGCAUACGACCUGAGGGUGAAAGCGGGGGACCGAAAGGCCUCGCGCUAUUGGAGCGGCCGAUGUCGGAUUAGCUAGUUGGUGGGGUAAAGGCUUACCAAGGCGACGAUCCGUAGCUGGUCUGAGAGGACGACCAGCCACACUGGGACUGAGACACGGCCCAGACUCCUACGGGAGGCAGCAGUGGGGAAUUUUGGACAAUGGGGGCAACCCUGAGCCAGCCAUGCCGCGUGCGGGAAGAAGGCCUUCGGGUUGUAAACCGCUUUUGUUCGGGAAGAAAUCCUCUGGGCUAAUACCCCGGGGGGAUGACGGUACCGGAAGAAUAAGCACAGGCUAACUACGU
Molecule: ribosomal RNA, 483 nt
Filed under: uncultured bacterium
Lineage: Bacteria
Description: partial 16S ribosomal RNA
Rfam family: Bacterial small subunit ribosomal RNA
Source: RNAcentral